Molecule: ribosomal RNA, 440 nt
Filed under: uncultured bacterium
Lineage: Bacteria
Description: partial 16S ribosomal RNA
Rfam family: Bacterial small subunit ribosomal RNA
Source: RNAcentral
CCUACGGGAGGCAGCAGUAGGGAAUAUUGCUCAAUGGGGGAAACCCUGAAGCAGCAACGCCGCGUGGAGGAUGAAGGUUUUCGGAUUGUAAACUCCUUUUGUUAGAGAAGAUAAUGACGGUAUCUAACGAAUAAGCACCGGCUAACUCCGUGCCAGCAGCCGCGGUAAUACGGAGGGUGCAAGCGUUACGCGGAAUCACUGGGCGGAAAGAGCGCGUAGGCGGGAUAGCAAGUCAGAUGUGAAAUCCUAUGGCUUAACCAUAGAACUGCAUUUGAAACUGUUAUUCUAGAGUAUGGGAGAGGUAGGUGGAAUUCUUGGUGGAGGGGUAAAAUCCGUAGAGAUCAAGAGGAAUACUCAUUGCGAAGGCGACCUGCUAGAACAUAACUGACGCUGAUGCGCGAAAGCGUGGGGAGCAAACAGGAUUAGAUACCCUAGUAGUC